GUAGGCGCGGUGGUGGCUCAGGGAGCGAGCGACAGCGGCGGCGCAGGCGGAGGGGGUGGCUCCCCCUCCCUGUCUGUCCCCUUCUCCCGGCGGCAGCUCCUCCAUGAGGGCGCCCAGGGCCGGCGGCGGGUUCCCCUGAGGAGCGCUGGGCGGGGCCUGGCGCUCGUCUCCCGCUCCCCCGCGCGCGGGCCUGGCGGCUGCGGCAGGUGCAACGUUUGAAACAUGAACAGCAAUACGCGUUACCAGUUUUCAAAGCUGGAACACAGUUGUCUGCGACGUUUCCAAGCUAAUCUUUCCGCAAGGCAUUUGUAAAUCCUUUGUAAUGGCCCACAAGAAAGAACCUCCUUUUUUCAAUGAUGAUAACGUGGGACCGUUUCACUACAAACUUCCUUUUUAUGAAACUAUGGAGCUCUUUAUUGAGACGCUUACAGGAACGUGCUUUGAGCUGCGAGUGGCUCCCUUUGAAACAGUGAUUUCCGUGAAAGCUAAAAUUCAAAGAUUGGAAGGUAUUCCUGUCUCUCAGCAGCACUUAAUUUGGAAUAAUGUGGAGUUGGAGGAUGACUAUUGCUUGAAUGAUUACAACAUUUCAGAAGGUUGCACUUUGAAGCUGGUACUGGCUAUGCGAGGUGGGCCUAUUAACACUAGAAGAGUUCCUGUGGAAGAUCCUGUUAGGGAAAUGGCUGAAUACAUGGACCCCAGUCGAGAUGAGGUCUGGGAGAAGGGGCCAUCCAACAAACAAGUUACCUUCUUGGUGUACCGGGAAGGAGAUCAGUUGAAUUUCUUCCGUGUUGUAGACAGGGGGGAUGGCACUUUAACACCAUUAUCUGAAUCUUUAAGUGGUGGUUCAGUUUAUAACUUAUACGCAGAUGAAGACGAAGAAACAGAGGCAUCUCCUUCUGGCCAACAGAUUAUUGAGAACUCGAUUACUAUGAAUAAAAUGAAGCUGCUCAAGGCAAAGAUGGAGAACAUGAAUCUCAGUAAAAAGCCUAAGAAGACUGUCAAGGUAAAACCUCGUCCACCUAUAACUCCUCGACCGUCUAGCAGUUCAGCAGCAGUUGCUCGUCACCGGUUUUUAAGAGUACUUCCCCACAUUGGACAGUCCUGCCUACCUCCUCCUGGGAAUUUGUAUCCCUCGGAGUCUUCCCAGAAUGCACUUUCAGCUUUGGCUACUUUGGCCACUGCUGGUAGAACAAUGCCAUCCAUUACUAGUGACUUUCUUAAGGAAGAUGACAAUUGGGAGAGCACCUCCCGGUCUCAGUCAGUUAAUAGCAUUCGACUACCACCGAAAAUAUCUCGUGUCGAACUAGAAAAUGCAAAACUACCUACAAAUAACUUCCUUCCCCCUGUCCCAUCACUACCUACAAAUUCCAAAAAAGCUUUAGAAAAUGUGACAUCCACAAAUGAGGACGAUCCUGUCUUGUAUCCACAUCUAACAAACGUAGAACUGUGUGCAACAGAAGACAAGCUUCUACCUGAAACAGAUGCUUUUGCUUUGUUAGCAGAAGCAAACACUGCUGAACAGUAUAGUGAGUUAUAUGGAAUAGGGAAGGUAAACCCAGAGCUUGGACUGUCUGAGGGGGAUGAGGAAUCUAAGGCUGUAGAACAGCAUAGCAAACCCAUUACAAAUAUCUUGAACGCUACAACAAUGGAGACUGGGCUUCUCAACACUCGUGAACUAAGUCCUCCGAAGAACACACUCUUGUCACCUCUUCGGUAUUCAGCCCAAAUGGCACAUCACAGUUCUCUGAAACCACAGACACAACCCAAAUGCUUUGAGGUCAGUAACUUGAGACCUGCUGCCUCCCCAAAUCUGCUCCGAUCUUUGGAGGUCCGUAAUUUGGCAGACUCCUCUUUUCCAAGGACUACAAGAUUUCAUGGUGUGAAGGUAGACUCACCUGGCAAAAGACCUGAUAUAAUUUCUAAAAUAGAGGCUAGGGACAUCACAGAGAUGGCAAACAAGGCAUCCAAAGAACCUGUGGGUUCUGUAAAUAACUUAGAAUUUCUAGCUUCGCUGGCCCGAAGCACAAGCAGGGAAAGUUUACAGAAUUCCUGCGGGACAGGCAGGUUUCGGACUUCUGGUAUUGCACUACCUACGAACCUCCAGCGUUUUCAGGAAGAAAGCUUUAGGAAAGCCUCUCCCCCAGAUGAAGCUGCUGAAUACUUCCUAUCUGCCCAUGGGCUUGGAAUGAAUGGAAAUGUUGCAGCUACAGGGAAAAGAGUAGGUAAGUAAUGUGAAUUUGUUUAAAGAGCUGAAGUUGACUGUUUAAGUCUCUUCCCAGUUAUCAAACACACCCAGAGCAAGAAUUAUACCUUUGUGUAGGGCAUAAAGCUUUGAAACGCUUUCUCUGUACUAGAUUUUUACAGAAUGGAUUAAACCUGAAUAUUUUGAGUUGUGCUUUCAUACAUGGAUCUCAUUCUGGCCUUGGGUAGAAUUUGGGACCCAGGAGAGUAUUCCUGGCUCUGUCACUGCCCUGUUGGAUGACCUUGGGCAAGCCACUGCCUCUCCAUGCCUCAGUUUCCCCAUCAGUAAAAUGGGGGUAAUGAUACUGCCCUUUUUAAAGCACUUUCCAUCAGUGCUAUAAAAGAGCGUGGACGUGGUGGUGUAGUUGUGUUUUAGCUGCAUUAUUUUUGUUGUUCACUGAGCGCCCAAGGGUGUUCUGCAUCAUCCACAAAAAUACACGUUCUCUGCACUGAGGUUUAUACUGUAAAGGGGAUGAUCCUGCAAACAGUUAUGCACCUAUUAAAGUCAGUGGGACUACUCACAUAGCGAAGAGUUUCAGAGUAGCAGCCGUGUUAGUCUGUAUUCGCAAAAAGAAAAGGAGUACUUGUGGCACCUUAGAGACUAACAAAUUUGUUAGAGCAUAAGCUUUCGUGAGCUACAGCUCAUUUCAUCAGGAAUGCAUCCGAUGAAGUGAGCUGUAGCUCACGAAAGCUUAUGCUCUAAUAAAUUUGUUAGUCUCUAAGGUGCCACAAGUACUCCUUUUCGUUUCACAUAGUGAAGUUACUCUUAUGUGUGCAGGACUGGGUCCUGAAAGACCUUGCAAUAGGAAACAUGGAGCAGGUGAGGGCAGGGUGGGAGUUGAGGGUUACAGGUAAGGUCCUGAGUUUGGUUUAUUAUUAGAGCACACUACUUGUGUUAGUGGGGAGUUGUGAAUGUGCAAUACCUGCUAAAAAUCAAGCCACAUGUUUAAUGCCUAUAUGUGGAUUUAGGUCCCAACUUUGGGGAUCCAAGCUUGAAAAUCUUGAUCUAUAUUUCUAAUUUAAUAAAAUAAGUUCUUACCUGUUGCUGCCAUCUUGUUCCUGUACGCUUCCUAAUGCCUAGCUGCCAUGUUUUCCUUGCCAAUACACACUUUUCUUAGGGCAGGUCUACACUUAAAACGCUGCAGCGGUGCAACUAAAUCACUUCAGUGAAGAUGCUACUAAGCCGACAGGAGAGCUUCUCCCGUUGGCAUAAUUAAUCCACCUUCCCAAGAGGUGGUAGCCAUGUUGACAGGAGAAGUAUAAUGCUGACUACACCGGGGGUUAGGUUGGUAUAAAUAUGUUGCUCAGGGGUAUGGCUUUUUCACACCCCAAGCAACAUGGUUAAACCGAUGUAAGUUUGUAGUGUAGACCUGGUCUUAAAAAAAUUGUCUGUUUGCUUUGUUUCAUCCCACUUUUUUUUGUUUUUACAUAACUCUUACCAUUGUUCGUUAAGAUUUGUUUAUUGCAGCAUUUUGUAUUUAAAUUGUAGCCUACUUUCUACUUAACACUGCCAAUAAUUUAUAUAAUGUUUGCCUAAAGAUAGUUUUAACAUUAAUAGCUUAGUUGACGCACACUUCAUUUAGAGUUAUAUACUCAAGAAUUUCAAGUGAGCAGGACAGAUUUUAAUGCACUGUACUUGUAAAUGAUUCAGACUUUUACAUAGGUAUAUCUUCUUUUACAUGCAUGUACAGUUGUACGUAUUGUGGUAAGAUCUUAGUGUUCAGAAUAUCAUUGUAACUUGCAAGUGUUUUAUAUUUGGAUAUCCAACAGCAUUAGAUAUUCUUUAAGGGGAGUAUUAAUCUCUGGACAAGUUCCCAUGAAUAACAUUCUUAUUUUUGGUUCCAUUUUGAAUAUUAGUAUAUUUUGAUAAUCUGAAUGUUAAACAGUCAUUGGUGUGUGAUUAAAACUCAGUUGUAUGUAAGCAGAUGUUUCUCUGAACAAUUUUUGUAGUUCCAUUAUUAGAGAACAAGAACAGUGUGCACCUAGCCUAGUUCAGCAUAUGGAAGUAGCUCUGCUGUAUGAAACAAGUCUAGCUAUUUAUUAGGGACAGAGGUAGAAGGAUACUGCUACUAGCUACUGUUGCUUUAAGCACUGAUUGCUCCAGCACAUGGCCUGAUAAGACCUCACCAGAUCUUUUGUCUCUGUGAAACUUUUUCCUUAAAGAGUCAGUUAUGCAUCUCAGGGAGUGUGUUGCAGAGUAAGCCCUAUAGUGAUGAAUACCAUUCUUUCUCACAGUCCUGGAGAUAAGCUUCUUGGCUAUAUUUAAUUCCUUAUUCAAGGAAAGUAUCAAUGUGUUCAUUUUGUCUUCAGAUUAGCUUUAAUAGUUAUUUUUGUAUUGGCUCAGUAAACUCAAGAGUUUUUUCAUCUUUUUAAAACUCUUAAAUCUUUCUCAAUAGCAGGUGCCUGGGAAGGCCUCGACUGGCUUCAAGCCUUGCAUAGCUUUCUGGUGCAAGCAAGACAUCUUGGGUAGUUAGGACUGUUGUUUUGGGGUUGGAUAGAAUAUCUCUAGUUUUUCUAACUUUCAGAGCCUGCAGGCAAUCCCUAAACCUGCAUGCAAGUCCAAAGAACUCAUUCACAACAGCAGUGACUCUUUUUUACUUAGGAAUUAAGAAAUCAGUUGAGCAUGAUUGACUCUUUUCCUUUUUUGCUUUACACCCUUCACAGUUGUCCUACAGUCUUUUCCUCCACCUAGCAUGACUUUGGAAAAAGUGAUGAGCAAUAAGAUCUAAGAUAUGUUUGUGAUGAAUCAGCUAGAAGAUCUUGUUCCUCACAAGGGAAUCCUAUUAUUUUCACAGUUACAACUGCUGAUGACCUAUGAGCAGAGGCAGUGGACACUGUCUUCUUUCCACUGCUGGUAUCAUUGUUGGUUAAUCCAAAGCUACAUUAAUGUCAGUCUGUGUCCUUAGCACCAAUCUCCAGUCUAAAGGGGGUAUGUGUGCACUAUAAUGGUAUUCGCCAGGGUCAAGGAAGCUAUUGCUUAUGUAGUCCACUCCAAAAAGUGAGUUGGGGGUGAGUGUUUUGUAGUACUUGGUACUAUUUUCUUCCCUUCUCCUCUGCGAUCGUGUACAGCCGAUAAGGGUAAGUGGGAUAUUAAGGUUUCUCCUCCUUCUGGACUUAUUACAUGGCUAUAUAUACAUGCUUGCCAUGCUUGCACUGUCAAAGCUUGUUUGUUUUUUUGUUGCACCACUCUUGGUGCUGUUAUCUGUGCCAGAAUAAUGCAUUUGACUGGAAGGGCCUUAUAAAUAAAAUAUAUCAGGUUUUCUUUAGUUGGGGGAGGGGUAUAUGGUAGACUUUGUACAUGUAGGUCAUAUAACUUUGCGAGAACGCUAGCUGACUCUGUUACUCUUGAAACAUCCAUCAUAUGAGAUGUGUAUACUGUAUUGUAAUCUCCAGCUGCUAUUGGUUGCCAAGUAGCUUGACUUCUGGUAUGUUUGUCUUUUUAACUCUGCAAACAAUCUUGUUUGCAAACUGCUUGGGUAUAUUUAAUAGGCUCUUACACAGUUUUCUCCUUCAUCUGCUUUGAAGCAUUUUGAGUGGUUCAAAGUGGCAGCAUUUGAAUAAUCAGAUGAAAUGCAAUUGAAUGCACUUGGAAGAUCAGAUCUAAGCAGUCUUAUCAGAGACUGGCAGGGUAACAUUUAUUACCAGACAUUUAUUUUUCAAGCAUUUGUGGCAAAGCAUGGUGAACCAUAUUCUCAGGAGGUAUAAACUAGCAACACUGUCUUAAAUAGAGCUAUGCCAAUUUACACCAGCAGAGGGUCUAGCCUGAUGCACGGUAUGCCAGUGGUUUUCAGCCUGUGGUCCGUGGAUCCCUGCUGGUUCGCAGACUCAGAUUUCCAAAGGGGUCCGCACUUCCAUUCAAAAUUUUGUAGGGGUCUGCAAAUGAAAAAAGGUUGAAAACCACUGUUAUGCCAACAAACAGCAUGUCUUGCAAACAGUUCGAGACAUCUGAAAAGAAGAGUCUGGUGUUGCACUGUGCAGAGCCUUGGGAGAUUUCCUAGGAAACCAAUUGCUAAUGGUCUCCUGCAGUGUGCUGAAAACUUCACUCUUCAGUGGCUGAUGUUACAGUAAAUUUGUCAGCCAGGUGAAUUGCCUUGGAAAGAGCAAGACAGUAUUGAAAACAGCAAUUCCCAAACUAUACUCUGCAAAUCACGAGUGGUCCGUGGAGGGCUGGCUAGUCACAUGGUGAUGGCUUCUCUCAUUUCCAGCUCCCGUACCACAUUAAAGACAGCUAACUAUGAGCUAAAAGCUUCCCUAAUAUUAUUUCUCCAUGUAAGCAAUUGCUGUAUGAGCAGCAAGGAUAUUAUUUGAUUGCAGAUGGGAGGGCAUUUGUCCAUGAGGCAGUCUCUUUUUUGGGGAGUUAUUUUGGGGCAGUUCUCUGGCCUGUGCUAUAGAGAUGAUAACAGUGGCCCUUCUGGCCUUGGGAUCUAUGAAUCUGUGUGGUCCACAGUAGGAAAAAUACUUCUAAACCCACCCUGUUGUAUAAACACUUAAUAUUAUAUACUGCUCUCAACACCAUUCCCAAACUGGGCUAACUGAAACCCCCUGAUAAGUGUCUGGGGACAAAACCGGCUCCCCAAAAUGGCUCCAGUAAAUUGAGCACAGUUUUAGAGGAUGAAACUGAUGGUGUGAACUAGCUAGAUCUAGAAAUAAGUCUUCCAUGCCAAGCAGCCAUAGCUUCAGUGGGACAAACUCAGCCCUUGUAUAAGCAGGCACAACUCCCAGUCACGCACUGAGAGCUGUCAGCUUAGCUUAGGGCUGAAUUUGGUCCGCUGCCAGUUACAUCUGAAAAGGACUGGCUACUGGAAACUAAGAUGUGCCGUACAUAAAGUACUUAUGUACUGAUGGCUUGUGCUGUGAGCAUCCAGAUACUAUGGUGAUGAGUGCAGUAGAAAUGCAUUUAUAAUCCUCUGUAUAGGUUGGUAUUUUCCUCUCCUGGUUGCUAACCAUCACUUGCCACAUAGCAUCAUACAGUAGGUGUGCAUGGACAAGGUGAUUGACUAAAGCGUUAACUUGCAAUAUGCCUGCAAAACUUUAAAAUGUUAACAUAGCCAGACACCUGUUAUAUUGUGAUAUUUAAAUCUGAGUUUACUUGCUGGUGCAUAUGCGCUAUACUGGGUACAUCCUAAUAGUCCACUGAUUCCACUGGAAAGUCAUCAGUGGUCAAGGCAUUCUGUUCCAGUCACAAAAUAAAAACACAGACAGUGCAACAGGGAGACAGGCUUGGAGCUGCACCGCUUGGUUCUGCCCUUCAUUAAGGUAAACGUAGACCAGUUGCGUAACCUCUCUUGUAUGUCAGGACCCACAACCUACCUCCCCUUUCCUAAGAUGCUGUGAGGCUUAACUGAUGCUUGUAAAAUAGACUGGGAGCCCCAUGUGAAAGGUGCUAUGUAAAGGCAAAGUAUGUUCUCUGGCUGUGGGAUUAGUUGAAUAUCAUCUCUUGAAAUACAAGUGUUUAACAGCAAACGUAACUAUACAAUAUGUUCAUUACAUGUUUUACCUUUGAAAGCAGGUGAAGCAACCCAUCUCCCACCUGUGAAUGGUUCAAUGC
Molecule: RNA transcript, 7789 nt
Organism: Dermochelys coriacea (leatherback sea turtle)
Lineage: Eukaryota; Metazoa; Chordata; Testudines; Dermochelyidae
Gene: ZFAND4
Gene name: zinc finger AN1-type containing 4
Exons: 9
Source: RefSeq, a predicted model, not a curated record